Molecule: ribosomal RNA, 342 nt
Filed under: uncultured bacterium
Lineage: Bacteria
Description: bacterial SSU rRNA
Rfam family: Bacterial small subunit ribosomal RNA
Source: RNAcentral
GAGUGGGGAAUAACUUCGGGAAACCGAGGCUAAUACCGCAUAAUACCCACGGGUCAAAGGAGCAAUUCGCUUGAGGAGGAGGUCGCGGCCGAUUAGUUAGUUGGCGGGGUAAUGGCCCCACCAAGACGGUGAUCGGUAUCCGGCCUGAGAGGGCGCACGGACACACUGGAACUGAAACACGGUCCAGACUCCUACGGGAGGCAGCAGUGGGGAAUUUUGCGCAAUGGGGGAAACCCUGACGCAGCAACGCCGCGUGGAGGAUGAAGUCUCUUGGGACGUAAACUCCUUUCGAUCGGGACGAUUAUGACGGUACCGGAAGAAGAAGCCCCGGCUAACUCCGUG